Long non-coding RNA from Helianthus annuus (common sunflower), 541 nucleotides. RefSeq lists it as uncharacterized. The transcript is spliced from 3 exons. NCBI's taxonomy places the organism in Eukaryota, Viridiplantae, Streptophyta, Magnoliopsida, Asterales, Asteraceae. The record is from RefSeq and is a predicted model, not a curated record.
GUAGUAGUGCAAAAUACAACCUCCUAGAAGAGUUGCUGUGGAAUAUUCGAGUUCUCAAUAAUUAUCUUAAUUAAAAGUGCUAUUUAUAUUAGAUUUUGUUACAUAACCAACUCUUUAGUCGCCUUCUAUAAUGAAAUUAUAGCACACAAUUUGGUGAUAGUUUUUAAAUCAUAUACUCGCUUACACGAAUGCGGCUUAUACUUGGUUGGUUUCUUGAAUGCAGGUGCUGACUAAAACAGGCUUCUAUUUGUUUGAUUAUCUCAAAAGGCUUCUUAAUAAUCAGAGACGAGGCAGAUCAGAUUCGAUCAACAAUAGAAAUGGAUGACAUUGAAUCAAACAACUACGUGCAAAAUAAAAAGGUCAAAUUACACAUACAAGGUGCAUAUUACAGGGCAAGAGGUAGCGAAGGCUGUGUUUUGGUUUUGUUAUGUUGUAAUUCUAUACUCUAAAUUUGAAUGUAGAUUAUGAAAGAUGAAGUUUGAAUGGUAUUAGUACUUCACAUUUCAUUCAUUUUGAUUGAAAAAAAAAUCUAAUUUUGUGA